UUCGCAAUGCCCGAAAGGGUGACGAAGCGACGCCGCGUGUGGGAAGAAGGCCUUCGGGUUGUAAACCGCUGUCGGGAGUUAAGAAGUGCAGGGAUGUUAAUAGCGUCUCUGCUUGACUAAGGCUCCGGAGGAAGCCACGGCUAACUCUGUGCCAGCAGCCGCGGUAAUACAGAGGCGGCAAGCGUUGUUCGGAAUUAUUGGGCGUAAAGAGCACGUAGGCGGCCGUGUAAGUCGGUUGUGAAAGCCUUCCGCUCAACGGAAGGACGGCAUCCGAUACUGCAUGGCUCGAGUGCGGGAGGGGAGAGUGGAACUUCUGGUGGAGCGGUGAAAUGCGUAGAUACCAGAAGGAACAUCGGCGGCGAAGGCGACUCUCUGGUCCGUAACUGACGCUGAGUGUGCGAAAGCUAGGGGAGCAAAUGGGAUUAGAUACCCCGGUAGUCCUAGCCGUAAACGAUGGGCACUAAGUAGAGGGGUUUU
This 477-nucleotide ribosomal RNA is filed under the name uncultured bacterium. RNAcentral describes it as "bacterial SSU rRNA". It matches the Rfam family "Bacterial small subunit ribosomal RNA", at positions 365 to 832 of the family's 1533-position model. The record is from RNAcentral.